RNAcentral lists this long non-coding RNA (275 nucleotides) under Homo sapiens (human). Its description in RNAcentral is "non-protein coding lnc-MBP-10:1". Lineage: Eukaryota; Metazoa; Chordata; Mammalia; Primates; Hominidae. The record is from RNAcentral.
AGUUACCCCUGUGACUGCAUCCCGACAAAAAUCAAGAUGAUACUGGCAGAGCACACAAGGUUCUCAAAGCUGAGGACCAAGCGAACUGGAAAUAAACAUGAGAAAGAAUGAAGCCAGCAGGCUUUGUGGAAGAAGGCAACAAAAAGGAAGAACAGAUCGAAGCUGAAGGGAACGUUAAGCCAGAAAGAAAGUGGCAGAAAAACCCUGAGGAAAGUCAAGAUGGUCAUGCAGACAGCUGGCAAAACUUCCAAGCAGCACAAAGGGGAAGUGAGAAA